Bos taurus (domestic cattle) is the source of this 3383-nucleotide long non-coding RNA. The record is from Ensembl. Lineage: Eukaryota; Metazoa; Chordata; Mammalia; Artiodactyla; Bovidae.
UCCCAGAGCCACUGUCUCCGUGGGAAGCUCCCCAGCAGCAUGCACGAGGCAGAAAGCGGACGCGAUGGCCGCUCGCACUCACUCUUCUCACUGUGACAGUCGGCUCCGCACGGGCGGCAGGGACUAGCCUCUGGGAUCCUCAAACCUUGACUUUGUCUACAGAAUCCACUGUGCCUUCCUCAGACGAGAGGGUCUUUGGUUUUAUUCGAAUUUUCCAAAGAAAAAGGUAAAAUGCAAGACCUCCCUCCUCCAGCCCCGCCGGGUCUCCACUGGGAGCUGGUGAUUCACAGCUGCCCACGCCAGACACCCCACCCCAGGGAGGCCCGGGGCACCCCCCUGGUCCUUCACCACCUCCCCUCUCUAAGCGCCAGCUGCCCAGCGGGUCACCUACCUCGUCUUCAUUUCCUGGGUGCUUCCGGAAGCUCUGGCCCCCUUUUCUGAUUGAUCGCUCUCCAGUUCAUCAGAGGAGCGUGCAGACCCUGGGCCUGAGUCCACUCUGGGCUGGCAGGAGCUCUUGCAGCUCCAUCCUCACUCCCUGGAUUAGUAUUAGGAAAUCCACCCCCACCCCACCCCACAUCCUGCUGCAGCCUCUGGGCGCUGGCCUGGCACGGAACCAGGAGGGGCAGGGGGCACCAUGCCGGCUGGGGAGACGGAGACGGUCCAGCCGGAGCCUUGCUCUGGCCCCAGUGCAUCUAAGGUUUGUCUUCAUUACGUUUGAGCUUGCACCAGGGGUCCCGAACCUCCAGGCUGCAGACCAGUACCUCCAGUCAGAUCAGCGACAGCACGAGAUUAAAGAUAAAGCGCACAGUACACGUGAGGCACUUGAGCCAUCCUGAAACCGUUCCCCUACCCCUGUCCGUGGAAAAGCCGUCUUCCACAAAACCGCUUGCUCCCGGGUGCCACAAAGGUUGAGGUUGCUGCCUUCCACAGCACCUGGAAAUUCUCUGCAGCCCCCCACCUGGGGGACGGGCGGUUCAUGGACUGGGGUUUUGCAUAAAGGACCCUGUUUUCUUCUUUUCAACCCCCAGGAUAUGUUGGGAUUAUAAUCAUAUUGUCAAAAGGAAGGAAAUUGGAAGUCACCCCAGGGAAAAUACUCCAGUCUAUUUGAAUAAUUAGGUAAGGCUGGGCUUUUUGCUGCUGUUGGUUGGUCUUAUUUAAAAAAAAAAAAAAGAUUCUGUGUGUGUGUGUGUGUGUGUGUGUGUGUGUGUUGGGGGCUUUAGCAGAGACCCGCCACAGACACAAGUGUCCACCUCGUCCAGGGCCUGGUUCCGAGGGCAUAAGGCCCCUGGCUCCAUCCACAUGACUCUUGACUUCUCCGAAAGGGCUCAUCUGCUCAGGACCUUGGCCUGUCAUUCUCUCUGCUUGGCUACCAGGAUAUAAAACACUUGGGAGAAAUCACGGAUUUUCUGUCUCUAAAGAUUUCCAGGUUGAGAAAUGGUCCUCUUCAGGUCUGGAGGCUGCACCCUAGACUGUGUGAGCUGUCCGUCUCUUCCUCCAGGGAAUUCUGAGUUCGGCACAGGCCUGGGGGUUCUACAAUGUUUUCCAAGGGAAGCCAUCAGCUACCUGGUGGCUGGGGGGCAGCCAGGGAUUGCGGGAAGGGAGUCUUCCUGCCUCUGAGGGAAGGUUUCUGUCCUGGCAGGGACCCGCACUGGUAAAAUGAGCCUCAGCUCCCAGCCCCAACCAGGCGGUGGGCGCUCUCUCUCGUGUCUGUUUCCAGGAGGGUAAAGACUUUUGCGAUCGCCAGUUGUGCGGUUGGUUUGUGAGUCAUUGUGGAGCACUUGGCCGGGCCGGAGACAGCAAGAAGCAAUUAGUCCUCUGAUCGACGCGGUUUGUCAACAUAAAAGGUUUGGGCUGAAGGGCCGCCAGAUGACACCCACUGCUUGGCACGCCCGCGAUGGCCACAGGCCUUCGUUGUUUAUUCCUCCCGCCUGAAAAACGCCCCGGGGGUGAGAGAAGGGGGCGGGCCCGAGCUGGAGGUGGGGCGCAGCUGCCGUCCAUCUGAGCCCCUCCGCCGGCGGAGCAGAGCCCCUCCCCUCGCGUUAGGGGGCAGGGCUGCUGGGGCCACCUGCUUCCCACUGGGCCAGAGGCCAAUUAUCCAGACGGAGGGACAGCCGGGUCCCCAGGGCAGGGACAGCGAGACACGAGAAAGGGAGUUAAGCGGACGCGCGGAUGGUCAGAGUAAAAGGCCGACUCUUUACCUUCUGAACCACAGGGGAGGCUCCGUGGCCCUUUCUUCAGACAACCUGCUUGCUGUGCAGACCGCCUGGACUCCACCACCUGGAGCUCCUCUUCCAAUGAGGCCGCAGGGCAGUCCCUUCUGUUUGUGACCGACAGCAGGCCGAGCCCAGCCCCCGCCCCGCCCCCGCCCGCCCCGGGACUGCAGGAUUCACUUCCGGCCCUGAAGGAAGGGCUUGUGGGCCUGCCUGCCUGCCUCACCCCUUACCUGUCGGGAGGUCCUGCUUCGGGACCAUACCCGCCUCAUUUGACGGCCGCUUGCGGGGGUCCCCCGCCCGAGUCUCCCGCUCCAUACAACCCCUGAUGGUGUCUUGUGUUGGGCCUGGUUGAUUUCCACACUCUGGUCCCCAGUGUGCAGAGUGCUCCAAGCCGCCUGCUCCCAAGUCUCCAUAUACGACACCAGUGUUUACUUCUGCAAGCUGUCCCCACGGUCAUUGUAGCUGCUUCUGAUCUUUGCUGGGUCUCCUGGUAGCAGCACCGUGGUUUUCCUUUGGGGAGCACUCCUCGGUCGCGCAAACAGCACAGGAUCUGGCCAACUGAUACAUUUCCCUCUCUGGUAUCAAAAUUGGUUCGGGAAUGGGCGUGAGACUAGCGUGGGUCCAGCGAGAGUCAGCCUUGGGACUCAGGCCAGGAAUUCAGAGAGCACGGCGCUCCCUGUCUGCUGGGGCCUCUCAAGUGGAAGGACAAACACGAGCUUCGAAAGACCUCACCAAGGAGAGCCCUCUGGGGCUGAAGCCAGAAGAAUUCAGAGCCUCAAGAGGAGGGGCUGGCGGCGGAGGGGGAGACUGGCCAACCUCUGACGUCACUGGAUCCUUACAUCCAGCUGCCCCAGGUCCCUGGGAGCCAGCAAAUCCUGUCUCUUUUUUCUCUUAAGUCGACUUGACUUGGGUUUUGUUUUACUCAACCCAAAGGAUGCUAAUAACACAGUUCCCAUCCAGGAGGUGGUGGGCAGAUGUGUUCUCAGGACCAGGAGCCCACACCAUGUGAGAGGGAGGCUGGGGAUGGAACCAGUCACUUUGAGAAACAGGACGCAGUGAUAAAGAGAAUCUCAAGUUCCAGUUCUGGAGAAUUCCACAGGUUAGAUGUUUGCAACCAGAGGCCUGGGGGUGUGAGGGCCUUUUCCUAACAGGGCUCUUGGGCCCUGAGGC